RNAcentral lists this transfer RNA (87 nucleotides) under Trametes sanguinea. RNAcentral's name for it is "tRNA-Val". The record is from RNAcentral. Lineage: Eukaryota; Fungi; Basidiomycota; Agaricomycetes; Polyporales; Polyporaceae.
GGGUCGGUGGCGUAGCUGGUUAUCGCAUCUGUCUAACACCCACCGUGCGUACACAGAAGGUCCUCAGUUCGAUCCUGGGCCGACUCA